RNAcentral lists this ribosomal RNA (490 nucleotides) under uncultured bacterium. RNAcentral describes it as "partial 16S ribosomal RNA". It matches the Rfam family "Bacterial small subunit ribosomal RNA", at positions 28 to 507 of the family's 1533-position model. The record is from RNAcentral.
GAUGAACGCUAGCUACAGGCUUAACACAUGCAAGUCGGGGGGAAACGAUGAGAGAGCUUGCUCUCUUAGGCGUCGACCGGCGCACGGGUGAGUAACGCGUAUCCAACCUACCCAUUACAGGGGGAUAACCUUGCGAAAGUAAGACUAAUACCCCAUGGCAUUUUAUGGUGGCAUCAUUAUAGGAUUAAAGAUUUAUUGGUAAUGGAUGGGGAUGCGUCUGAUUAGCUUGUUGGCGGGGUAACGGCCCACCAAGGCAACGAUCAGUAGGGGUUCUGAGAGGAAGGUCCCCCACAUUGGAACUGAGACACGGUCCAAACUCCUACGGGAGGCAGCAGUGAGGAAUAUUGGUCAAUGGGCGAGAGCUUGAACCAGCCAAGUAGCGUGCAGGAUGACGGCCCUAUGGGUUGUAAACUGCUUUUAUAGGGGAAUAAAGUGAGCUACGUGUAGUUUAUUGCAUGUACCCUAUGAAUAAGGACCGGCUAAUUCCGUG